UACGGAGGGUGCAAGCGUUAUCCGGCAUCACUGGGUUUAAAGGGUGCGUCGGCGGCUUGGUAAGUCAGAGGUGAAAGCCCGCAGCUUAACUGCGGAACUGCCUUUGAUACUGCCGAGCUUGAAAGAGGUUGAGGUCAGCGGAACGUGACAUGUAGCGGUGAAAUGCAUAGAUAUGUCACAGAACACCAAUUGCGAAGGCAGCUGGCUGGGCCUACUUUGACGCUGAGGCACGAGAGCGUGGGGAGCGAACAGG
Molecule: ribosomal RNA, 253 nt
Filed under: uncultured bacterium
Lineage: Bacteria
Description: partial 16S ribosomal RNA
Rfam family: Bacterial small subunit ribosomal RNA
Source: RNAcentral